Molecule: ribosomal RNA, 253 nt
Filed under: uncultured bacterium
Lineage: Bacteria
Description: partial 16S ribosomal RNA
Rfam family: Bacterial small subunit ribosomal RNA
Source: RNAcentral
UACGAGGGAUGCAAGCGUUAUCCGGAAUUAUUGGGCGUAAAGCGUCCGCAGGUGGUUUUGUAAGUCUGCCGUUAAAGCGUGGAGCUUAACUCCAUAUCGGCGGUGGAAACUACAAGACUAGAGUUUGGUAGGGGUCACGGGAAUUCUUAGUGUAGCGGUGAAAUGCGUAGAUAUUAAGAAGAACACCAGCGGCGAAAGCGCGUGACUGGGCCAAUACUGACACUCAUGGACGAAAGCUAGGGGAGCGAAAGGG